AUGGCUGUUCGCCAUUUAAAGUGGUACGCGAGCUGGGUUCAGAACGUCGUGAGACAGUUCGGUCCCUAUCUGCCGUGGGCGUUGGAUGAUUGAAGGGAGUUGCUCCUAGUACGAGAGGACCGGAGUGAACGAACCUCUGGUGUUCGGGUUGUCACGCCAGUGGCACUGCCCGGUAGCUAAGUUCGGAAUCGAUAACCGCUGAAAGCAUCUAAGCGGGAAGCGAGCCCUGAGAUGAGUCAUCCCUGACCCCUUGAGGGUCCUAAAGGGCCGUUGGAGACCACAACGUUGAUAGGUGGGGUGUGUAAGCGCAGUGAUGUGUUGAGCUAACCCAUACUAAUUACCCGUGAGGCUUAACCAUACAACACCCAAGAAGUGUUCUG
This 380-nucleotide ribosomal RNA is filed under the name Aeromonas salmonicida subsp. salmonicida. RNAcentral describes it as "bacterial LSU rRNA". It matches the Rfam family "Bacterial large subunit ribosomal RNA", at positions 2572 to 2925 of the family's 2925-position model. The record is from RNAcentral. Lineage: Bacteria; Pseudomonadati; Pseudomonadota; Gammaproteobacteria; Aeromonadales; Aeromonadaceae.